This 465-nucleotide ribosomal RNA is filed under the name uncultured bacterium. RNAcentral's name for it is "partial 16S ribosomal RNA". It matches the Rfam family "Bacterial small subunit ribosomal RNA", at positions 28 to 507 of the family's 1533-position model. The record is from RNAcentral.
GACGAACGCUGGCGGCGUGCUUAACACAUGCAAGUCGUACGGUAAGGCCCUUUCGGGGGUACACGAGUGGCGAACGGGUGAGUAACACGUGAGUAACCUGCCCACAACUUUGGGAUAACGCUAGGAAACUGGUGCUAAUACUGGAUAUGUGCUCCUGCUGCAUGGUGGGGGUUGGAAAGCUCCGGCGGUUGUGGAUGGACUCGCGGCCUAUCAGCUUGUUGGUGGGGUAGUGGCCUACCAAGGCGGCGACGGGUAGCCGGCCAGAGAGGGUGACCGGCCACACUGGGACUGAGAUACGGCCCAGACGGCUACGGGAGGCAGCAGGGGGGAAUAUUGCACAAGGGGCGCAAGCCUGAUGCAGCAACGCCGCGUGCGGGAUGACGGCCUUCUGGUUGUAAACCGCUUUCAGCAGGGACGAAGCUUUUUGUGGCGGUACCUGCAGAAGAAGCACCGGCUAACUACGUG